CGAGAAUUUUUCACAAUGGGGGAAACCCUGAUGGAGCGACGCCGCGUGGAGGAUGAAGGGCUUCGGCUCGUAAACUCCUGUCACCACAGACAAAUGCGUCACGGUGAACAUCCGUGAAGAUUGAUGGUAUGGGGAGAGGAAGGGACGGCUAACUCUGUGCCAGCAGCCGCGGUAAUACAGAGGUCCCAAGCGUUGUUCGGAUUUACUGGGCGUAAAGGGUGCGUAGGAGGUCUGGAAAGUCGGGUGUG
Molecule: ribosomal RNA, 248 nt
Filed under: uncultured Candidatus Methylacidiphilales bacterium
Lineage: Bacteria; Pseudomonadati; Verrucomicrobiota; Methylacidiphilae; Methylacidiphilales
Description: uncultured Methylacidiphilales bacterium partial 16S ribosomal RNA
Rfam family: Bacterial small subunit ribosomal RNA
Source: RNAcentral